GUGGCUGGAGCAUGGUGGGGCUGUCGGAAGGUGAGGAGAGAGAGAGAGAGAGAGAGAGAAGAAUGGCUGGGGCCAGGUGUUUUCUCCUAGACCAGCAGGAUGAGAAUAGGAGAAGGACCAUUAUUCCUUUACACAGGUGGGAAAGACUGAGGCCCAGAGAGGGCAGUCAUGCGCUCAAGACCACACAGCCAGUCAGCACAGUCAGGGAUUGGAGCCAGGACUUUCCCUGCUGGGCCAAGGGAGGACAUGGGAGGAAGGAGGGGCUUGGAGGUACUUUUGUAAUUUCUUUACUCAAGGCCAAGAGGCCAUCAGCUAUUUGUAAAGAAAUGGGGGUGGGGGCUACUGUUAGAGAUGGGUGGGUAUUGAAAUCACUGGAACUCCCCAGGGCACUUGCACUCCUGCAAGCCUGUGUUUAUUUCUUUCUUCAAUUUGAAUGAUUUUUUUUCCUUCAAAAAUUCCCUGGUGCUCCCUCCGUAUUAUUAGGUAGCAAAUGGAUCUGCAGGUGUUUAAUGAGGUUGGAAAAUAAAGGAUCCAGAAGCCUUGACCAGGGUUCUCUUGCCUCCCGGGGAGGCCCCUCAGGCCAGGAACCAGGCCAGGUCUAGGGGAAGGGCCUCCCCGGCAAUGUUCUGACCAAACCAGCCCCUGGCAGUCCCACUGACCGGCCACUGGCUUGUAGCAACUUUGGACUAGCCACUUCCCUCCUGAGACCUUGGGCUCCUCCUCUGUAGCUUGAUGGGGUAACAAGGUGAGACUCAGUGUGUGUGGUAGGAUUAGAGACACCAAGGAGCAUCCUGGCAUUGCAGGCCGGAGGCCUGGUUUGAGCAAACUGGUGGUGGCCAAACCAACAGGGACCUGUGCAGGGGACAUUACUACCCCCAAAGUGGCUUAGAGGAAGUUGGCAGAGUGCGGCACCCCACCAGUGACUGUGAGGAGACAGGAGGGGCUCUGUCCUCUCUUGGAAAGGGCAGACGGUAUUCUGUUUGACCAGCAAGCCUACCGCGUGCCCAGGGCUUACACAUACCCUACAUUGACCCAUGGCGGCUUCUCUGCACUCCUAGGGGGAGCCGUCGGCUGCCCCAGAGGACAGAUGAGGAAACCAAGGCUUGGGAGGAGAAGCGGCGCAUCCUGUGGCACACAGUAGGUGUGACACAAGACAGCUGACUCUGGCUUCCAGGCUCUUCCCACAGAUCUGCAGAGCUUCUGCCCUCCCAGCCCCACCUGCCAGGACUAGGUCCUCUCCGCCGGCCCUGCAGCUGCGUUCUCUGCCUCUGCUCUGUGGACUGAUGCCUCACACGAGCUCCCUGGCCUCUGGCUUCUGCCUCCCCAUGCCCUCUCUUGUGAACAGUCCAUCAGGGCUGGGAGGAAAGCAGGAUGAAACCAGUUCCCAGCGAAGCAGCAUUCGCCAGCAUUUACUUCAUACCUCCCUUUAAUCAACUCACUUUUCUCUAAAAGCUUUAAAAA
Molecule: long non-coding RNA, 1461 nt
Filed under: Homo sapiens (human)
Lineage: Eukaryota; Metazoa; Chordata; Mammalia; Primates; Hominidae
Description: HSALNT0292240
Source: RNAcentral